AUUGAACGCUGGCGGCAGGCCUAACACAUGCAAGUCGAACGGUAACAGGAAGAAGCUUGCUUCUUUGCUGACGAGUGGCGGACGGGUGAGUAAUGUCUGGGAAACUGCCUGAUGGAGGGGGAUAACUACUGGAAACGGUAGCUAAUACCGCAUAACGUCGCAAGACCAAGAGGGGGACCUUCGGGCCUCUUUCCAUCGGAUGUGCCCAGAUGGGAUUAGCUAGUAGGUGGGGUAACGGCUCACCUAGGCGACGAUCCCUAGCUGGUCUGAGAGGAUGACCAGCCACACUGGAACUGAGACACGGUCCAGACUCCUACGGGAGGCAGCAGUGGGGAAUAUUGCGCAAUGGGCGCAAGCCUGAUGCAGCCAUGCCGCGUGUAUGAAGAAGGCCUUCGGGUUGUAAAGUACUUUCAGCGGGGAGGAAGGGAGUAAAGUUAAUACCUUUGCUCAUUGACGUUACCCGCAGAAGAAGCACCGGCUAACUCCGUG
RNAcentral lists this ribosomal RNA (489 nucleotides) under uncultured bacterium. Its description in RNAcentral is "partial 16S ribosomal RNA". It matches the Rfam family "Bacterial small subunit ribosomal RNA", at positions 30 to 507 of the family's 1533-position model. The record is from RNAcentral.